Molecule: small RNA, 107 nt
Filed under: Marmota monax (woodchuck)
Lineage: Eukaryota; Metazoa; Chordata; Mammalia; Rodentia; Sciuridae
Source: RNAcentral
GCCAGGCACAGUGGCGCAUGCCUGUAAUCCUGGCAACUGGGGAGACUGAGGCAGGAGGAUUGCAAGUUUGAGGCUAGCCUCAGCAACUUUUCAAGACUUUGUCUCAA